Molecule: ribosomal RNA, 431 nt
Filed under: uncultured bacterium
Lineage: Bacteria
Description: partial 16S ribosomal RNA
Rfam family: Bacterial small subunit ribosomal RNA
Source: RNAcentral
AACGAACGCUGGCGGCAGGCUUAACACAUGCAAGUCGAGCGCCCCGCAAGGGGAGCGGCAGCCGGGUGAGUAACGCGUGGGAACGUACCUUUUGGUUCGGAACAACUCCGGGAAACUGGAGCUAAUACCGGAUAAGCCCUAACGGGGAAAGGUUUAUCGUCGAAGGCUCGGCCCGCGCCUGAUUAGCUAGUUGGCGAGGUAACGGCUCACCAAGGGGACGAUCAGUAGCUGGUCUGAGAGGAUGAUCAGCCACACUGGGGCUGAGACACGGCCCAGACUCCUACGGGAGGGAGCAGUGGGGGAUAUUGGACAAUGGGCGGAAGCCUGAUCCAGCCAUGCCGCGUGAGUGAUGAAGGCCGUAGGGUUGUAAAGCUCUUUUGUCCGGGAAGAUAAUGACUGUACCGGAAGAAUAAGCCCCGGCUAACUUCGUG